This 1278-nucleotide long non-coding RNA is filed under the name Cyanistes caeruleus (blue tit). Its description in RNAcentral is "lncRNA (ENSCCEG00000014506.1)". Lineage: Eukaryota; Metazoa; Chordata; Aves; Passeriformes; Paridae. The record is from RNAcentral.
GUGGGGCAGGGAGAUGUGGGGCAGGGAGAUGUGGGGCAGGGAGAUGUGGGGCAGGAUGUGGGGCAGGGAGAUGUGGGGCAGGGAGAUGUGGGGCAGGGAGAUGUGGGGCAGUUCUGCCCCCCAGAGUCACCAAAAACCCCCAAAAAUGGGUGAAAAUCCCACGGAAACGCGAAUUUUGGAGACGAUUUUGGCCGAUUUUGCUCCUUUUCGCCCCAAAUCUGGGAUUUCUGUGGGGCUCAGGGGUUACCUGGGGGACAGGUGAGCUCAGGUGGGACCCUGGCUGAGCCCAGGUGUCCCCAGGUGUAUCUCAGGUGUCCCCAGGUGUCCCCAGGUGUGCUCAGGUGUCCCCAGGUGUAUCUCAGGUGUCCCCAGGUGUCCCCAGGUGUAUCUCAGGUGUAUCCCAGGUAUCUCAGGUGUCCCCAGGUGUCCCCAGGUGUAUCUCAGGUAUCUCAGGUGUCCCCAGGUGUACCCCAGACUCACCUGGCAGGUAUCAGCCCCUCCUUUCGGGUCCCCGGCACACACCAUGUCCCCAGGUGUCCCCAGGUGUGUUCAGGUGUCUCUCAGGUGUACCCAGGUGUAUCACAGGUAUCUCAGGUGUCCCCAGGUGUACCCCAGACUCACCUGGCAGGUGUCGGCCCCGCCCCUCGGGUCCCCAGCACACACCAUGUCGUCCCGGAUCCUCCGCGGGGGCAGCGCCGGGCCCAGGUCGGUUCCGUAGAGGCGGCGACACAGAGAGAGCGGCAACAGCGGCACCUGCAGCUCCCGGAGCCGCCGGGGGCGCUCUGAGUGACCAGAGAGUGACCACUGAGUGACCAACUGACCACUGACCCACCCUGAGUGACCCCUGAGUGACCACUGAGUGACCACUGACCACACUGACCACACAGAGCCAGCGGCAACAGCGGCACCUGCAGCUCCCGGAGCCGCCGGGGGCGCUCUGAGUGACCAGAGUGACCACUGAGUGACCACUGACCCACCCUGAGUGACCACUGAGUGACCCCUGAGUGACCACUGACCCACCCUGAGUGACCACUGAGUGACCACUGACCACACAAAGAGAGCGGCAACAGCGGCACCUGCAGCUCCCGGAGCCGCCGGGGGCGCUCUGAGUGACCAGAGAGUGACCAACUGACCACUGAGUGACCACUGAGUGACCACUGAGUGACCACUGACCCACCCUGAGUGACCACUGACUGCACUGACCACACUGACCACUGACCAUUGAGUGACCCUGAGUGACCAACUGACCACUGAGUGACCAUUGACUGACCACUGAGU